UUGUCUUCAUUUUCCAUUUUGCUACCUUUCCACAGACCUCUCACUUACCCUCUCUCUUUUUCUCCAACAAAGCUCUACUAGGGUUUGAGUAAGCUUCCCCUACGAGCUAGUCAAAAGUUUUCUCCAAGAAACUCUUUAAGCUUCCUAGUAUUGGUGCUCCUCCCACUACGUGUUUUUCUCCUUAAGCUUAGUUUCACUCAAAGAUGUGAAAACCUGUCAUCAGGAUGGUGGAAAUGCGACAAUGUAGUAUGCCGGGUUGGAUCUUGCUCUAUAGAACAUCUUUAGGGGCAUGGUUGCCUAUGUAAUCUCUUGCUCUAUGAGCAAGCUUUCUGGACAACUAUCAAACUCUUAAAUUCUGUUUUGUUCAUGACA
Molecule: long non-coding RNA, 372 nt
Organism: Vigna unguiculata (cowpea)
Lineage: Eukaryota; Viridiplantae; Streptophyta; Magnoliopsida; Fabales; Fabaceae
Source: RefSeq, a predicted model, not a curated record